CGGGUAUAGCUUAGUGGUAAAGCUCCAGCCUUCCAAGCUGAUAAGGAGGGUUCGAUUCCCUCUACCC
RNAcentral lists this transfer RNA (67 nucleotides) under marine eukaryotic metagenome. It matches the Rfam family "tRNA". From Rfam's summary of the family: Transfer RNA (tRNA) molecules are approximately 80 nucleotides in length. Their secondary structure includes four short double-helical elements and three loops (D, anti-codon, and T loops). The record is from RNAcentral.